Molecule: long non-coding RNA, 2142 nt
Filed under: Gossypium barbadense (sea-island cotton)
Lineage: Eukaryota; Viridiplantae; Streptophyta; Magnoliopsida; Malvales; Malvaceae
Description: long non-coding RNA (GBAR_LNC017776)
Source: RNAcentral
UGCUGUUGUCCCUCCCUCUCCCCAUGAAGCUUUAUUCUUUUUCUCAUUUUCUUUUCUCUCAAAAUCAAACCAUUUCCUAACAUCCAAACUUUGAUUUCUUAAUAAAAUCAAGUAAGAAACUUGAUUCCAAGUUCAUUUCCUCUAUAAACUUCACCAUUCAGGCUAAGGUUUCAUAGGUUUAUGAAAGAGAAAACUGUGGCUAGAGAACGAAAGCUUCGAUAAGGUAAGAUGAUUUUUUUCCACCUCCCUUAGCUUGAUUUUUGGUAUUGGUUAUUUGGGAAAACUUCGAAAGAUUUGUGGUAAUAUUUUUGUUAUAUUUUUAUAUAUGAGGAUUUGAGGAAAGGUUGGAUGUUAGGUUUUCAAGCAAGGAUGAGAAUGUAUUCAAGUAUUUGGAAGCUUAGAAUUGAGUAAAAAUGCAUCUAAAAGGUAAGUACCUUUGGAUACUCUUACUUUUCCUAUGCUAAAAUAUGUAUGUGUUAGGCACUUAGUGUGUCAAUAUGUGAGUUUAGACAAGAAUGGUCUAAACAACCUCUAAACCCUGUAACCUUGAUUGUACCUCUGCCUAAAUAAAAUACUUAUAAAUAUGUAAAUGACCUUAACUGAAAUAAGUUACUCCUGAACUAAAUGAACCCUAGUAAACUUAGUGGAAAAGUUAGGAUAGGAUUGACAUGUCAAUAAGGAUAUGAGAUGUGAUUUGUUCUCUUUGGGCUUAGCACCUUAGUGCUUUUUGGUGUGUUUUGGAGGGAUGUGAUCUAUUGUCUUCAAGUUUAUCACUUUAGUGCUAUUCAAUGUGUUUUGGAGGGAUUUGAUCUAUUGUUUUCAAUUUUAGCACUUCAGUGCUCUUUGGUGUGUUUGGAGGGAUGUAAUUUGUUUCCCUUAGGCCUAGAAAUUUAGUGUGUUCAGGAAAGAUGAGUUGUGAUGCCUUAGAGUGAAUCACUUUCAUGCUCUUAGUGCAUUUUAGAGGGUUCUCGUAUAUCCGAGUCUCAUUUUACAAUGUUUACUAAGGGCGAAACAAAUUUAAAAUCUUAACGAUGAGAUUUACUUGAGAAUAUAAAUAGAUAGAUAUAAACAUGCUAUGUAUUUGAGCUGAAAAUUAAAUGUCAUGAUAUUAAGCUUUGACCAUUUGUGACACAAAUGAGAUUUGAGAUAAUCCAACAAGUUAAAUGAGCAUGUGUUGAACAACAAAGUUAAACCAUGAGCCAUAGGACAUAAAAAUGAGAUUAAAACUUAUGAUUCUAUAUGCCCAUAAUAGAAAAAUGAACAAGGGAAUACAUGACUAGCAUAAUGUACUAAUAGCCAUAAUUGGAACUCAUAUGAGGAUAAUUUAAAAGAAUAAAGCCAAAAAGGCAAUAAACUUUGGAUUAAGCAAUAUUGUUACCCCCAAUGAGAGUCCUAAAUAUAAAUUCCCAAUGUGAAUGAUUAUUGGAUUAUUAAAGGGUGAGUUGAGUACUUAAGUUUCGGUAAUAAGAAAUGAAUUCAUUUGCAACCUUAAAAUUUGAUAUGAGUAUAUUUUGUAAUAGACAUGACUAAAGAGGGCUCAACACUAAUAACAAAAUAGAAUAUCCUUGUGUACUUGCUGAACUUAUUGAACUCACACAUUAGUUGUUUUAAAAUGUGUAGAUUUUGCAUUUUUCGAAAAGAUGGUGUUUUGACUUGGGAGCAUCGCAUCACCACUUGAGCUUAAGGUUGUAGUUCCUUAAUUUAGUUGCAAUUAAUUUUGAAUCUUGGCUUGUAUACAAAUGCAUUUAUUGUAAUUGCAUUUGUAAGGUUAUUUUUAAAUUUUAACUAUUUAGACAACCCUUUUAUAAGAUUUUGUUCUGUUGAUCACUUUUAACACACAUAUGUAUUGUAUUUUGGGUCUUAAUAAAUUUAGAAAUUGUAUUAUAAUGAUUUGUUACUCGUGGAUAUGUUAUGGAUGAGUUUGGGCAUGAUUUUAAGUGUUUUUGGCCUAAUUUUUAACUUUAAGGGUCUAGGGUUUGGUACCCUUACCAUAGGUAUCGAGUCGGAGCAAGUUUGUAGAAAAAAUGCUACAGUUCCAAGCUUAGGUAUCGGUACCUAUGCCCAAGGUACUGAUAUGUUGUUGCCUAGAUAGGCCCCCUGUACUAGUUGGUUGUUUUGAGCUCCUUGAAGCUCGUAUUUGAC